This 774-nucleotide ribosomal RNA is filed under the name uncultured Neocallimastigales. RNAcentral describes it as "partial large subunit ribosomal RNA". It matches the Rfam family "Eukaryotic large subunit ribosomal RNA", at positions 23 to 642 of the family's 3401-position model. The record is from RNAcentral. Lineage: Eukaryota; Fungi; Neocallimastigomycota; Neocallimastigomycetes; Neocallimastigales.
ACACGCAUGACACACUGCAUAUCAAUAAGCGGAGGAAAAGAAACUAACAAGGAUUCCCUAGUAACGGCGAGUGAAGCGGGAAGAGCUCAAAUUUGAAAUCUUCAAGGUUUUACCUUGACGAAUUGUAGUUUAAAGAAGUGUUUUCUGUUAGAGAGUUUGGUAAAAGUUCUUUGGAAUAGGACAUCAUAGAGGGUGAGAAUCCCGUAUUUGGUCAUUCCUCCUAGCGUUGUGAUACACUUUCAACGAGUCGGAUUGUUUGGGAAUGCAGUCCAAAAUGGGUGGUAAAUUUCAUCUAAAGCUAAAUAUUGGCGGGAGACCGAUAGCGAACAAGUACCGUGAGGGAAAGAUGAAAAGAACUUUGAAAAGAGAGUUAAACAGUACGUGAAAUUGUCAAAAGGGAAGCGUUUGACACCAGUGUUGUUUUUCCGAAAAUCAAUUAAAAAUUGAUUCAUGCUAGGUUGUAUUGACCUCAUCAGCUUGCAAUUUAGUUUUGGGUCUCUUUUUGAUGCACUUUUCGGUUAACGAGUCAACAUCAAUUUCCUUUGCUGUAAAAAGGUAAGAGGAAGGUGGCUUCAAUUUCGGUUGAAGUGUUUAUAGCCUUUUAUCUCUGCAGUCGGGGAGAUUGAGGUCUGCAGCGUAGAUCCUUCGGGGCUUGAUACAUUUAUGCUAAGUUAUAGCUUUUCAUAGACAACUUGUUGACUAUGUUUAGUCAUGUAGCUUACUCGUAAGUGCUAUUUUACCUACGCUUAGGAUGUUGAGCGCAUGUCUCUCUCU